AUUGAACGCUGGCGGCAGGCCUAACACAUGCAAGUCGAGCGGAUGACGGGAGCUUGCUCCUUGAUUCAGCGGCGGACGGGUGGGUAAUGCCUAGGAAUCUGCCUGGUAGUGGGGGACAACGUUUCGAAAGGAACGCUAAUACCGCAUACGUCCUACGGGAGAAAGCAGGGGACCUUCGGGCCUUGCGCUAUCAGAUGAGCCUAGGUCGGAUUAGCUAGUUGGUGGGGUAAUGGCUCACCAAGGCGACGAUCCGUAACUGGUCUGAGAGGAUGAUCAGUCACACUGGAACUGAGACACGGUCCAGACUCCUACGGGAGGCAGCAGUGGGGAAUAUUGGACAAUGGGCGAAAGCCUGAUCCAGCCAUGCCGCGUGUGUGAAGAAGGUCUUCGGAUUGUAAAGCACUUUAAGUUGGGAGGAAGGGCAGUAAGUUAAUACCUUGCUGUUUUGACGUUACCGACAGAAUAAGCACCGGCUAACUCUGUGCCAGCAGCCG
This 494-nucleotide ribosomal RNA is filed under the name uncultured bacterium. RNAcentral describes it as "bacterial SSU rRNA". It matches the Rfam family "Bacterial small subunit ribosomal RNA", at positions 30 to 517 of the family's 1533-position model. The record is from RNAcentral.